Molecule: long non-coding RNA, 5404 nt
Filed under: Sus scrofa (pig)
Lineage: Eukaryota; Metazoa; Chordata; Mammalia; Artiodactyla; Suidae
Description: lncRNA (ENSSSCG00015004499.1)
Source: RNAcentral
CUUUUUUUGCUUUUGAGGGCCACACCCGUGACAUACGGAAGUUGCCAGGCUAGGGGUCAAGUCAGAGCUGCAGCUGCUGGCCUACAGCAACAGCUCAUGGCAAUGCCGGCUCCUGGCCGCAGCCACAGCAACUCAGGAUCCGAGCCACAUCUGCAACCUACACCACAGCUCACGGCAAUGCCAGAUCCCCGACACACUGAGUGAAGCCAGGGACCGAACCUGUAUCCUAAUGGAUACUAGUUGGAUUUGUUUUCACGGUGUCACAAUGGGUACUUCCCAGCUUUUUAUUUACAAAAAUUUUUUCUUAAAAAUCCAGAGGAGCUCCACUCUUACCUACUCAAGAAAAUGCUGAGCUAAAAUGUUUGGGCAAAAAAGCCCCCUGGACAUCUAUUCAGGCAACUUUACGUUAUGCUUCUCUGUUCCGACUGACGCACUAAUUCUAUUUAGAGGAAGUAAAAAAGGAUUUUCAGCCAAAAUAAUGACACUGGUUUGAUGCACACACCUGGCUACAAGGAUACUGCUGCUAAAAAGGAAAAUCUUUCCGUUAGUAUUUCAUAGAUGUGGGCAACACCAGCGUUGGCCAGUUACCAAGCAUCUCCACAGGCAAUCAGGCAGCUCCAAGUCUUUGGUAUGGGGUAUCUUGGGUGUCAAUGCAGAGGCUUGUUGAUGGCCUUGGGCCCCCCAGCAGGAGCACAGGGCAUGGGAUGAAAGGACUAGGGCUGUCUCCAGACAUGACAUGGGUAAGAAAGGGUAGGGGGGGAGUUCCCUUUGCAGCUCAGAGGUUAAGGAACCCAACUAGGAUCCAUGAGGAUGCCAAUUCAAUCCUCGGCCUCACUGAGUGGGUCGGGGAUCCCAUGUUGCCAUGAGCUGUGGUGUAGCUUGCAGAGGAGGCUUGGAUCCUGCGUUGGUGUGGCUGUGGUGUAGGCUGGCAGCUGCAGCUCCCAUUCGACCCCUAGCCUGGGAACCUCCGUAUGCCAUGGGUGUGGCCCUAAAAAGCAAAAAAACAAAAAGAAAAGAAAGAAAGGGCAAAAGGGAGAGAAAUCAAUAGCUCCCUUCUCGUAUUUCUAAAAGGAGCAUCAAAGUUGAAGAAUAAAUGAUAGAUUCCUCCCUACCACUGAGAGAAAGAAAAGACAAGGAAAGAGAAGACGGGGGAGUCAGCAACAAACAUGUUCCAUCAGACAAUCUUCCCUCUGGAGACCCAACAACUCUGCGAGGCUUAAGAGGUAUUUCCUAUAAAAUGGCAAAUGACAAAACUGAGGUUCAAAGAGGUUACAUAGCUUGUUGGAGGUCUCCAAGCUAGCCAGUAAGAGCAAGACGACAAGGAUGCAGGUAUCCUGACCCUGGGCUCAGGGUUCUUUCCACUCAGCAGCCUCUGUGGAGAGGGAGAUGGUCUCACUCAUGUAGGGGUGAGGUCCCGGGUUUCUAGUUCCCAACCUACCAGGAACUUGCUACAGACCAUAUGGACAGGGUAAGGACUGUGACAAGCUGGAGAAAGUGCGGCACAUCUAAAGGAGGCAGCUGUUAUUUCGUACCAAGUAAGUAAUUACAGUCAUACAGGAUAUAAGCUGUAGUCCUUCUAAUUUCUCAAGUUGGAAAUCUGGCUUUAUGAAAAGUCUCCCAACUUUUAAACGUUUGCUCUAAAUAUUUAAAAACACCAUGCUGGUCAAAUCAAACACAUAUGUAGGGGAAACCAAGCCCACACAGGAAACCAGUUCUAAAUCUGAUGUCAAUCCGUACAAGAAAAAGGGCCAGGCUAAAUGCCGGGUUCCUGGCUAUGCGCCCACAAAGGCAUGAAGUUAUUGGUUCAAUAAACCCAUAUGCCUACCAGCAUUAUCUCUCAAACAUACAUACAUACAUACAAUUUCUCAAAUAUAUGUAGAUGCUAAUAGGAAAAAAUUUAAAUUCACAUGGUUAGCUAAAUUCACAGCAGCUUUCCCCAACUGCUCUUUUUUCACCAAUAAACUGAUAGUAAAAAUACAACCACUACUAUGCGAACCCUCAUAAUUUUUUUUUUUUUUUGUCUUUUUGCCAUUUUCUUGGGCCGCUCUCGCGGCAUAUGGAGGUUCCCAGGCUAGGGGUCGAAUCGGAGCUGUAGCCCCCGGCCUACGCCAGAGCCACAGCAACGCGGGUUCCAAGCCACGUCUGCAACCUACACCACAGCUCACGGCAAUGCCAGAUCCUUAACCCACUGAGCAAGGGCAGGGAUCAAACCCGCAACCUCAUGGUUCAUGACAGUUAUCUGAACUAAGGUUCUGACAGUGGGAAGAGAGAAGAAAUCAGAGUCUAAAGGAGGAGGCAGAAUAGACCUGCCUCAGUUCUCUUUCUGCCUCAGGGCAGGAGGACAAGAGGGGGCUCAGGAUGACACCCCACCCCCCUGCCCCCAAUUCCUAUCUUGUGCACAAUGGUAAAAGGCAGCAUGGCUGCUCCAAGUGGGUUUGAAACACAGAUCGAUGCACUCUGGACACUCAGUUUGUGGCACCUUUGGGUCAUCCAAGUGGAACUGUCCAAGGGGCAGCCAAGCAGUCAAGGCUGGGGCACAGGUGGGGAGGCAGCCACAGAGAUGGAAAAUAGCAUCGCAAGAGGCCAGAUGCCAGAUGAUCAGAGAAGUGUGAGGGGAGGGGAGAAGAGAAGAAGCAUCACCAAGGGCUGGACAAAGAGACACAAGUCUGCCCCUUACAGGGAGCUGGAGGAAAAGGAGAAAACCAGAAUGAGUAGGUUGCCUUAGAAGCUAAGGGAGGAGAAUUUAGGAGAGAAUGGCCAACAAGGUCAAGUUGGAGAAGGAAAGACAAAUCACGGCACCACGUUCUGUUCUGGCUGAUCGUAAUCCACAUGUUUUUCACUGUCCAUCCUCUUCGAAGAACUGUACCAACAACACGAAGGUUUUUCCCCACUGUACUCCUACUGCCCACAGAUGCCUGGGAGUUCUUGAACAUCUCUAUGGAAGGAAGGCAUGGACAAUGCAUGCGUGAAUGUUUAGGGAAGAAUCAGUAAUAAAGGUGAAACCAGGUGAAGGGGUUAGAAAUAAUCCCCAGGGAAGAGGGCUGGGCGAGCACAGAGGAUGGGACCCAGGAGGCAGGAACAGUGUAGGUUGGUCUUGGAUGUCACAUAGAAAACUCAGAAAGAUCAUUUCCCCACCAUCCUCUUCCCCAAGUACCAGAGAUUACAAAGUUCUCUCCCAUGAGUUUCUACACUGUCCAGAUGGGCUCACUAAUCCAGGAUGCUCCAUCCCCCCUGAGAUUUUAUUACAGGAAAACCAUGAGUGAACAGACUGGGGAGGAGGCGUCUCUGAGGAUUCCCGUUCCAAUCCUCUACCUUGUGAGCAUGUGAUUUUCAAGAAGUGAUUUCAUCCCAACCACUGAUUGUGCAGCGUGAUGCCAAUGUGCUUCAAAGCUUUUAGUCAAAUCAACGUGCAAACACCUGCCCUUACGAAGCCGAAGCCGGGAAAAUGGGCAGGCUUAUUGCCUCAGUGAAUUAUUCACUUUCCAAAGUAGUCACUCACUGCACUAAAGAAGCAGAUCCCUUAGUUCUCAUAAAACCCAAUGUCUAAAUUUUGAUUUCAAAGUAACUGUCUUCAGAGUACAUUUGGCAUCUGCCUUUCACAGAAAAAAGAUCAGCUCCCCAUUCUCCCCCUGAUAGACUAUAUUAGCACGUCCUAAUUAGAUGUUCUAAAUCUGGAAGGAAAUGGCAGGGGGUGGGGGCAGGGGGGAAAGUGCCUUCAUAAGACUGCCCUAAUUUACGCAGCAUCACGGGCCCAGCUGACCUUUAUUCAGCCUUAAAUUAAUCAAUUGGCUGAGGCCCACCCUGGUACUUUGAAGAGACCACGGAUAAGAGGGUAUUUCACACAAAGGACUUUCAAUAAACAUAAACCACAAGCAUCAAAAGAAUGUUUAUCCCGAGGGCUGCCAAGAAAGGCCAAAUGAUAGAAUGAAAAGGCUCUGGACUAGGAGCCAGAGGAAUCAUUUUAGCAACUGGCUCAUAGGACAAUCCAACCAAGCCCUUCUCCACUCUGCCCACUGGUCCCUCACUUUCAUCCUCCUCCUCGGUGUUCAGGACCACCUCGGGUUUUAUACUAGCAACUAGCACUAAGCCAGGCAAUGCUGGUGAUGGUGUUCAGGUUACAGAAAGGUACACAGGUCUGGGAGCCCCACUGCCUAGGUUUGAAUCCAGCCUCUCAUCAGCUGGAGCAAAUGACUUGACUGCUACAGUUUCCUCUAUCAGUUAAGCGGGAAUGGUAGUGCACCCCAUCCCAGGACUGUAGUGAGAAUUAAAUGGAUUAACGAUUAGAAAGCACUUGGAACAAUGCCUGAUAAAUAGCCGGAAGUUUCCCAAUUCCAUUAUUAUGACAGCAACCACUGGUCUGACCUUGAGCAAGUCCCUGUCCACUGUGGGGUUAAAUUUCCCCCUGAGCAAUACAAUGGGGUGGAUGAACUCAUCUCAGGAAGAUCCCCACCAGCUUAACUCCUCUGUAAUUCUUGGAAUCCUAUUACAACUCUCUAAAUCCUCCUAAGGCUCUGAGCUCUCAGAUCAGCAGCCGAGAGGGAAGGUUCCCCAGGAGUCUUAUCAGCCCAGGGAGUUUCAACUCCUCCCAACCAUGGGCGGGACCCAGAGUCCCACAGUCCACUCAGCCAACCCCCUUCCUUACAGGAGUUACAGACUAUUCAGAGAUGAAAAUACUCAUGGUACCCAGAGCUGUGUAGACAGCACAAAUAUGAGAAAAGGACACACAUCAUGGGGGCCAAAAAAAAAAAAAAAUAAAGACAAGAAACAAUCAAAAGCAAGCAUGACACGCCAAAAAUACACUGUGUCCACCAGGCUACUUUUUUCGCAUCCUUCACCUAAUAGCAGUUUCAAAAACUUCGAACUAGGAGUUCCCGUCGUGGGUCAAUGGAAGUGAAUCUGACUAGUAUCCAUGAUGACACAGGUUCGAUCCCAGGCUUGCUCAGUGGGUUAAGGAUCUUGUGUUGCUGUGGCUGUGGCACGGGCCAGCAGCUGUAGCUUCAAUUAGACCCCUAGCCUGGAAAUUUCCAUAUCUGGCCCUAGAAAAAUAAAAAAUUAAAAAAAAAAAAACUUCAAACCUAGAAGGCAGCUCUGUAGCAGGGAAAUGUUCGCUACCUAGGGGCACAGGCUUCUCACUUGAAACCCAGGCAGACAUACCCCAAGGCACAGACACUCCUGAGUGGACACUCAGGUACAAACACCUUCCCCAGGAAGCACGGUCACUUGCAGGACAUAUGCCCUCCCCUCCGCUCUGCCCAAAAGUAAAAUCAGUGUUCACAAUGAUAUCAGUCCCCUCUCCCUUCUGGGCCUCAGUUUCCACUUCUGUAAAAUGGAGGAACUCAGGCCACCUACAUUUCCAAGUUUCCCAACAGUACUAAAAUUGUAGUAUCCCAUCCAUGAUUUCCAC